AUAAGGUCCAUAUAAGGCCACAUCCGCCUGACAGUCUACCUCCGUUUUGGCUACGGGCACCGGACCCGAUCCGCCUCGCCAGCGCGCCUUCAUUCACCGGGUCCGCGACGGACCCUGUACGGAUGCAUACACCGAACGCGCCCUAACGGUUUAUUUCAUCAGUUUUCUCGCUGAUGGAGUGCUGCCGAGUGUGAGACAAAACGGUGGCGUCUGAAGGCUCACUGUCAUUCACAAGUCUGGUUUGGGGGUCUACCCUUGCUCAUCCUGGCCUGCCACCCAAGUAAAAAGAGAAAUAACCACAGGCCUCUGCAACUGCUGUUUCCAGGUCAUUCACAAGUGGCUCCAGUCUGGUUUGGGGGUCUACCCUUGCUCAUCCUGUCCUGCCACCCAAGUAAAAAGAGAAAUAACUACAGGCCUCUGUAACUGCUUUUUCCAGGUCAUUGUCACAAGUCACAAGUGGCUCCAGUCUGGUUUGGGGGGUCUACCCUAGCUCAUCCUGUCCUGCCACCCACACAAAAAGAGAAAUAACUACAGGCCUCUGCAACUGCUGUCUCUAGGAGCGGUACGCAAGUGUCCAGUGACAGCCCAGGCAACGGAUACCGACAUUCACCAAUGUGCUGGCGCAUGACCGAGAAGGGGGGACGUCGCAAACGCCAGUGUGAAGGAGCAAGCUAGAUUCAUUGAUG
Long non-coding RNA from Sardina pilchardus (European sardine), 686 nucleotides. RefSeq lists it as uncharacterized. NCBI's taxonomy places the organism in Eukaryota, Metazoa, Chordata, Actinopteri, Clupeiformes, Clupeidae. The record is from RefSeq and is a predicted model, not a curated record. The transcript has 8 exons.